CUGUGAAACAAGAUACCAGGCUAGCGGCGGACGGGUGAGUAACACGUGGGGGUAACCUGCCCAAGAGAUCGGGGAUAACACUGGGAAACAGAUGCUAAUACCGGAUAACAACAGAUGAUGCCUAUCAACUGUUUAAAGAUGUUCUGCUAUCACUCUUGGGAUGGACCUGCGGUGCAUUAGCUAGUUGGUAGGGGUAACGGGCCUACCAAGGCGAUGAUACAUAGCCCGAGUUGAGAGACUGAUCGGGCCACAUUGGGGACUGAGACACGGGCCCAAACUCCUACGGGAGGCAGCAGUAGGGAAUCUUCCACAAUGGACGCAAGUCUGAUGGAGCAAACGCCGCGUGAGUGAAGAAGGGUUUCGGCUCGUAAAAAGCUCUGUUGUUGGUGAAGAAGGACAGGGGUAGUAACUGACCCUUUGUUUGACGGUAAUCAAUUAGAAAGUCACGGGCUAACUACGUGCCAGCAGCCGCGGUAAAU
This 479-nucleotide ribosomal RNA is filed under the name uncultured Lactobacillus sp. Its description in RNAcentral is "bacterial SSU rRNA". It matches the Rfam family "Bacterial small subunit ribosomal RNA", at positions 72 to 525 of the family's 1533-position model. Lineage: Bacteria; Bacillati; Bacillota; Bacilli; Lactobacillales; Lactobacillaceae. The record is from RNAcentral.